CGUUUGUGUAAUGGAUGCUUCUGGGCGUUUGGGCACCACCCUUGUCCACAGGCUUUUGCAUAGAGGAUACAAUGUCCAUGCUGCAGUCCAAGACCAUGGCAAAUUGGAAUACUUUGAAGAGUUGUCUUCUUGCAAUAGCAAUAAAUUGAGAGUUUUCUAUUCUGAUCCCUUUGAUUAUCACAGCAUAAUGGAUGCACUAAAGGGAUGUUGUGGCUUUUUUUUUUUCUUUUUACCUCCCUCCAUCAGAUCAACCUAACUAUGAUGAAUUUAUGGCUGAUGUAGAGGUAAGGGCAGCACAUAAUGUCCUAGAAGCAUGUGCCCAAACGGAAACCAUACACAAAGUUGUCUUCGCCUCCUCUGCUACUGCUGUUAUAUGGAGUAAUGAUCGGAAUAAGACGUCUGAUGAUCUUGAUGAGAGGAACCGGAGUGAUGACAUUAAUUUCUGCCGGAAGUUCAAGUUAUGGCAUGCAAUGUCAAAGGCACUAGCAGAGAAGACAGCUUGGGCCCUAGCAAUGGACCGAGGGAUCAACAUGGUCAGCAUCAAUGGUGGACUCAUCACGAGUCCUGAUCUAACAAUUGCAAAUCCUUAUUUGAAAGGAGCCGCUGAGAUGUACGAAGAUGGGGUUUUCGUCACUGUGGAUCUGAGCUUCAUUGUUGAUGCGCACAUUUGUGUUUUUGAAGACGUUGCAUCAUAUGGAAGGUACCUAUGCUUUAACCAUGUCAUCAAUUGCAACGAAGAUGCUGUUAAGCUUGCCUGCAUCUUAUUGCCACCC
This 773-nucleotide unclassified non-coding RNA is filed under the name Hevea brasiliensis (rubber tree). The record is from RNAcentral. Lineage: Eukaryota; Viridiplantae; Streptophyta; Magnoliopsida; Malpighiales; Euphorbiaceae.